RNAcentral lists this ribosomal RNA (253 nucleotides) under uncultured bacterium. RNAcentral describes it as "partial 16S ribosomal RNA". It matches the Rfam family "Bacterial small subunit ribosomal RNA", at positions 524 to 776 of the family's 1533-position model. The record is from RNAcentral.
UACGUAGGUGGCAAGCGUUGUCCGGAAUUAUUGGGCGUAAAGCGCGCGCAGGCGGUUCCUUAAGUCUGAUGUGAAAGCCCCCGGCUCAACCGGGGAGGGUCAUUGGAAACUGGGGAACUUGAGUACUGAAGAGGAAAGCGGAAUUCCACGUGUAGCGGUGAAAUGCGUAGAGAUGUGGAGGAACACCAGUGGCGAAGGCGACUUUCUGGUCUGUAACUGACGCUGAGGCGCGAAAGCGUGGGGAGCAAACAGG